RNAcentral lists this ribosomal RNA (1497 nucleotides) under Limosilactobacillus reuteri. Its description in RNAcentral is "Lactobacillus reuteri partial 16S ribosomal RNA". It matches the Rfam family "Bacterial small subunit ribosomal RNA". Lineage: Bacteria; Bacillati; Bacillota; Bacilli; Lactobacillales; Lactobacillaceae. The record is from RNAcentral.
CGGCGGUGUGCCUAAUACAUGCAAGUCGUACGCACUGGCCCAACUGAUUGAUGGUGCUUGCACCUGAUUGACGAUGGAUCACCAGUGAGUGGCGGACGGGUGAGUAACACGUAGGUAACCUGCCCCGGAGCGGGGGAUAACAUUUGGAAACAGAUGCUAAUACCGCAUAACAACAAAAGCCACAUGGCUUUUGUUUGAAAGAUGGCUUUGGCUAUCACUCUGGGAUGGACCUGCGGUGCAUUAGCUAGUUGGUAAGGUAACGGCUUACCAAGGCGAUGAUGCAUAGCCGAGUUGAGAGACUGAUCGGCCACAAUGGAACUGAGACACGGUCCAUACUCCUACGGGAGGCAGCAGUAGGGAAUCUUCCACAAUGGGCGCAAGCCUGAUGGAGCAACACCGCGUGAGUGAAGAAGGGUUUCGGCUCGUAAAGCUCUGUUGUUGGAGAAGAACGUGCGUGAGAGUAACUGUUCACGCAGUGACGGUAUCCAACCAGAAAGUCACGGCUAACUACGUGCCAGCAGCCGCGGUAAUACGUAGGUGGCAAGCGUUAUCCGGAUUUAUUGGGCGUAAAGCGAGCGCAGGCGGUUGCUUAGGUCUGAUGUGAAAGCCUUCGGCUUAACCGAAGAAGUGCAUCGGAAACCGGGCGACUUGAGUGCAGAAGAGGACAGUGGAACUCCAUGUGUAGCGGUGGAAUGCGUAGAUAUAUGGAAGAACACCAGUGGCGAAGGCGGCUGUCUGGUCUGCAACUGACGCUGAGGCUCGAAAGCAUGGGUAGCGAACAGGAUUAGAUACCCUGGUAGUCCAUGCCGUAAACGAUGAGUGCUAGGUGUUGGAGGGUUUCCGCCCUUCAGUGCCGGAGCUAACGCAUUAAGCACUCCGCCUGGGGAGUACGACCGCAAGGUUGAAACUCAAAGGAAUUGACGGGGGCCCGCACAAGCGGUGGAGCAUGUGGUUUAAUUCGAAGCUACGCGAAGAACCUUACCAGGUCUUGACAUCUUGCGCUAACCUUAGAGAUAAGGCGUUCCCUUCGGGGACGCAAUGACAGGUGGUGCAUGGUCGUCGUCAGCUCGUGUCGUGAGAUGUUGGGUUAAGUCCCGCAACGAGCGCAACCCUUGUUACUAGUUGCCAGCAUUAAGUUGGGCACUCUAGUGAGACUGCCGGUGACAAACCGGAGGAAGGUGGGGACGACGUCAGAUCAUCAUGCCCCUUAUGACCUGGGCUACACACGUGCUACAAUGGACGGUACAACGAGUCGCAAACUCGCGAGAGUAAGCUAAUCUCUUAAAGCCGUUCUCAGUUCGGACUGUAGGCUGCAACUCGCCUACACGAAGUCGGAAUCGCUAGUAAUCGCGGAUCAGCAUGCCGGGUGGAAUACCUUUCCCGGGCCUUGUACACACCGCCCGUCACACCAUGGGGAGUUUGUAACGCCCAAAGUCGGUGGCCUAACCUUUAUGGAGGGAGCCGCCUAAGGCGGGACAGAUGACUGGGGUGAAGUCG